Molecule: ribosomal RNA, 492 nt
Filed under: uncultured bacterium
Lineage: Bacteria
Description: partial 16S ribosomal RNA
Rfam family: Bacterial small subunit ribosomal RNA
Source: RNAcentral
AGUGAACGCUGGCGGUAGGCCUAACACAUGCAAGUCGAACGGCAGCACAGUAAGAGCUUGCUCUUACGGGUGGCGAGUGGCGGACGGGUGAGGAAUACAUCGGAAUCUACUUUUUCGUGGGGGAUAACGUAGGGAAACUUACGCUAAUACCGCAUACGACCUACGGGUGAAAGCAGGGGAUCUUCGGACCUUGCGCGAUUGAAUGAGCCGAUGUCGGAUUAGCUAGUUGGCGGGGUAAAGGCCCACCACGGCGACGAUCCGUAGCUGGUCUGAGAGGAUGAUCGGCCACACUGGAACUGGACCACGGUCCAGACUCCUACGGGAGGCAGCAGUGGGGAAUAUUGGACAAUGGGCGCAAGCCUGAUCCAGCCAUACCGCGUGGGUGAAGAAGGCCUUCGGGUUGUAAAGCCCUUUUGUUGGGAAAGAAAAGCAGCAGGUUAAUACCCCGCUGUUCUGACGGUACCCAAAGAAUAAGCACCGGCUAACUUCGUG